This 566-nucleotide ribosomal RNA is filed under the name Sinanodonta amurensis. Its description in RNAcentral is "partial 12S ribosomal RNA". The record is from RNAcentral. Lineage: Eukaryota; Metazoa; Mollusca; Bivalvia; Unionida; Unionidae.
GGAGUAGUUUUUAAUUUAGACUACAAGAUUAACUUUUAGUGUAAAAAACAAAUUAUAACUAAAUCCCGUCUAGUCACAUAUAGCCACUCCAACAAACCAUAAUCUCAGAACUCGGAUUAGAUACCCGACUACUGUAUGGCUCAACAUGCAUAAGAAUACUACGAGCGAAAGCUUAAACCUCAAACAAUGUGGCGGUGCUUUACUCCUCAUCAGGGGAUCCUGUGACUUAAUUCGAUAAUCCACGAAAAUCUUAGCUAAUCUAGACUUCCAGCUUGUGUAUGGCCGUUUAUGCUUGCUCUUAAAAGAAAAAAAAGGAAGCAAAAGGGUUACUAUCCCAAUAAUUCAGGUGACAUACAGCCAAUGAUUAGCAGAUUCAUGGGAUACAAAUAAACAUCCUAUCAGAUUUAAAAAUUCAAAUUUUUAAUAAAGGAGGACUUGAAAGUAAGGGUCACUCUACCAAAUGACCCUGAAUAAGAACUAAAGCGCGCACAAAUCGCCCGUCACUCCGACAAUAAAGUAGGACAAGUCGUAACAUAGUAGGGGUAAUGGAAAUUGCCCCUAUCACA